UUAAUUGAAGCCAAAAAGAAGCAUAUCACUGUUAAUGAUAUAAUUGAAUUUUAAUUCCAAUUAAG
Molecule: transfer RNA, 65 nt
Filed under: Symphoromyia crassicornis
Lineage: Eukaryota; Metazoa; Arthropoda; Insecta; Diptera; Rhagionidae
Description: tRNA-Asn
Source: RNAcentral